AACGAACGCUGGCGGCAGGCCUAACACAUGCAAGUCGAACGGGCGUAGCAAUACGUUAGUGGCGCACGGGAGAGUAACGCGUGGGAAUCUACCCUUUGGUUCGGAAUAACGUCGGGAAACUGACGCUAAUACCGGAUAAGCCCUUCGGGGGAAAGUUUUAUCGCCGAAAGAUGAGCCCGCGUUAGAUUAGCUAGUUGGUGAGGUAAUGGCUCACCAAGGCUACGAUCUAUAGCUGGUCUGAGAUGAUGACCAGCCUCACUGGGACUGAGACACGGCCCAGACUCCUACGGGAGGCAGCAGUGGGGAAUAUUGGACAAUGGGGGAAACCCUGAUCCAGCCAUGCCGCGUGAAUGAUGAAGGCCUUCGGGUUGUAAAGUUCUUUUGGUGGGGACGAUAAUGACGGUACCCACAGAAUAAGCUCCGGCUAACUUCGUGCCAGCCGCCGCAGUAA
Molecule: ribosomal RNA, 451 nt
Filed under: uncultured bacterium
Lineage: Bacteria
Description: partial 16S ribosomal RNA
Rfam family: Bacterial small subunit ribosomal RNA
Source: RNAcentral